CACAGAAGUGCGCGGCUGAGGAAGUCCUAAUAAGGGUCUGCUGACGUGGAUUUUUUUUUGACUCUACUACCGCGAACAUGCCAAUGGGCAGCAUUUGGUCAACUCUCACCGGUUCCUCGCCCCUCUGGCUCAGACGCCUCACCAACGUUCAGCUCCUCGAUCUGUGGGUCUGCAUGCUCUCUCCUGCUCACCCUGCCAAUGAGAUAAGCACCAGGUUAGGACCAUUGUAACUGCCAACGGGGAGCCAGAGGAGAUACGUUAGAUUAAGCAAUCAGCAGGUUCUUCAGCAGUCUUAGAGCUACUUUGACAACACGAAAGGUGAGGAAAGACAUUUAUGAGGCGCGGCCAUUUACAUCCAUCCAUCUGCAGCCUGUGAGGAAUUCAUCGCCGCUUGACUGGAUCGAAGCAAGCUUGCCAAACCAUCUCCAUCAGUGGCGCUCUGUCCAAUCUCAAUCCAUUAUCAUCACAUGAGUGAGCCUAUUGAACGCACAGGCAGCAGCAGCAACUUAAUGAGGUACUCACAGAUAUGAAGAAGGGAAACUUCGACAUGAAGAAAGGAAAAGAGUCCCCUAUCCUCGGUUAGAAGUCCCCUGAACACCGCGGUUAUCACAAGGUGGUCUUUUUUUUCCCUUCACCACUUAUUCCCUUAACACAACUUCCAAAGAUUUUUUUCCUUUAUGACAUUUCUGCUGCCGUGAUUAGAGCCAAUCAACGCUCAGUUUUAUGAAUAUUUAAAGAGACAGCCAAUGGAGAGGCAAGGAUUCCAGAGGGUGGGCGGGUCCGCAGGUGUUCACUCACAGUGUUGAUGUUAGAGCGGGCUCAGCUGGGAGGAGGACGAGGAGCUCCGGCUGCGAUGACUAUGAAAUCAGGAUGUGCGUGGCGUCAAAUUCUCUUUUCAUCACUGGAUCACAACUGAAGCUCGCUUUGCCUGCAGUCUGCUACUCAACCACUGCAGCCUCCAUCCUUGCUCUUGUAUUCCUGUUGUUCCCUCCUCGGGUAAUCAGCCGUUCUCUCAGCAAAGGCCCAUUGAUCGAGCAGCGCUCUACGGCCGCAUGACAUCCAUAAUCACAACAAUGGUGUGACAGCCCGUAUAAAUAAUGUGGCACACAGAGGAGGAAGGAUGUAGGAAUGCAGAGUUAAGGAAGAGUCGGGCCCCAUCUCUUACUGUCCUCCGUAUUAAUUACAGAACUCUCAACCCCUCCUCUUCUGUGGUCAUGAGUUAUUUUCUUACCAAACUUUAUUUGACCUCUGUUUGUUUAAGCAUCCAUUAAUGGCAAGAAGUCGCUUCGUUACACUAAUCACCAAGGCUACUGUAAUAACUGCAAUUAUGAAGAUUAGUUGAGUUAACUAAGGGGCUACAAGGCCAUGAAUGUGACUUCUAUAUAUACAAAAACUAGAAAGCUAUAUUGGGAAUACUAGUUGUUUCAGGCAACAGUGAUGAUGAAUAAAUGAAUAAUGGAAAAGUUAACUGUUAGCAUUCGACCUUAACUUUGACAACAAUGGAUGGUGGUAUGGUGACACUGACUGCUUUAAAUUCGAGUCUUCUUACUUAAAAGCCCAGAUUGUCGAUCCGGCGUUCAGCUCAGCUCUUAAAGGGGAUCUGCACUUUUUUGGAAUUU
Molecule: non-coding RNA, 1619 nt
Organism: Doryrhamphus excisus (bluestripe pipefish)
Lineage: Eukaryota; Metazoa; Chordata; Actinopteri; Syngnathiformes; Syngnathidae
Source: RefSeq, a predicted model, not a curated record